Non-coding RNA from Coffea arabica (coffee), 2912 nucleotides. The record is from RefSeq and is a predicted model, not a curated record. NCBI's taxonomy places the organism in Eukaryota, Viridiplantae, Streptophyta, Magnoliopsida, Gentianales, Rubiaceae.
UCCCUAUACGUAUUUAGCUGCAACAACAUAGGCAUUUCCCAAGUUUCACAGUCCAUUGGUUAGAUGACCACCACCACCAGUGGCGGCCAGCCGCCACAACCAUCGGCCGAACCCCAGCUGAUCCCAGACCUCCCAGAUGACGUGUCCAUCAACUGCCUAUCAAGAAUCCCCAGAUACUAUUACCCUAAGCUCUCUCUUGUCUCAAGAUCAUGGCGCUCCGCCAUAACCUCCUCUGCACUCUUCACCACCCGGUCCCUCCUCCAUACCACCCAAACCUCUCUCUACCUCAACCUCCGCGUCAACUACUCCUUCCACUGGUACACUCUCCUCUCUAAUUGCCAUAGCAGAAAAAUCCCACAAAAACCCAUUUUUCCCCUUCCCCGCAUCCCGUGUCAGCCCGUAGGACCUGCGUUCGCCGUCCUAGGCCCGAAAAUAUACGUAAUUGGGGGGUCUAUUAACGACAUUCCGUUAAAUUCGAUGUGGGUUUAUGAUUGUAGGUUUAAUAGGUGGGAGCAAGGCCCAAGAAUGAAGGUGGGACGGGAGUUCGCUGCGGCCGGGGUUGUUGAUGGGAAGAUUUAUGUUCUAGGUGGUUGUGUUGUGGAUAGCUGGGCACGGUCUGUGAACUGGGCCGAGGUUUUUGACCCGGAUACUGGGUUGUGGGCCCCGGUGCCGAGCCCUAUUGAGGUGAGGGAGAAGUGGAUGCACGCGAGCGCGGUGGUGGAGGGGAGAGUUUAUGCAAUGGCGGAUAGAGGUGGGGUGGUGUAUGAUGUUGGGCUGGGGAAGUGGGGAAACGUGUCAAAAAGGCUUGAUUUGGGGUGGAGGGGGCGGGCUGCGGUGGUUCGGGGAGUGUUGUAUUGUUAUGAUUAUUUAGGGAAGAUCAGAGGGUACGAUGUGGAGGAAGAUGUUUGGAAGGAGUUGAGGGGUGUAGGGAAAGGGUUGCCUAGGUUUUUAUGUGGUGCGACGAUGGUGAAUUUCGAUGGAAGGUUGUGUGUAGUUUGGGAGGGGAAGGGGAGCGGGAAGGAGGUGGAGAUAAUGUGUGCGGAUAUUGAAGUUUGGAAGGAUGGGGAUGGAAUGUUGAGCGGAAGGAUUUUAUGGUCUGACGUGAUUCUCACAGUUCCUAAUGGAGCUGCGAUUGUACAUUGUAUGGCAGCUGAGUUCUGAUGGUGAUGUUUGGUGCAGGAGAGUGUGAACUUUUACUUCAUUCUUUGCGAGGAAAGGGGAAAAUAGAGCGCAAAUUGGGGGAAAGGCCAUUGACGAGGGAACAUCCCUGAACCUCUGAAGCACACAUAAAAAGGAACAAGCUCGAUUGUGAAGAAAACUAUGGGGAUUGACUCUGAGAUGCUGUUCUCCUCAUUUCCCACCUCUCUGUUGAGUUAUGUACUUUAUUUUUGAUGUUGUAAUCUGGAGAUUCUGAGAUUCAGUUGAAUGGUAUACUCACAGUUGUUUUACCCAUGUAUUCAAAAUGGAUUAGAGCCAAAUUCAACACGAGCAUUUUGGAUUUGUUUGUUUUUUAAGAUAUUUUCUCGAUUGACAAAAUGGCCUUAUAAUGUGAUACUCUGCUACUUUGAUGUCCCCAUGAUGAUUGCGCUGCCAUUGCUUGAAUUUUUUUUUAGAUUUAGACAGAUUCAAUAUUUUUUUAACAUUGCUGUAGUUUAGUCUUGAUUGUCCAUUCUGGAUCAGUGAUGUUAAUGUUUUUACUGCGUUAUCUAUCUGAAAUCCAGUUGAGGAUAGACUUACUUCCUGAGAUCCAGUCCAUUUUUUAUUGAGCAUCAUUAAUUACCACUCAUGGAUUAUAUUGCAAAUGUGAGAUACUACCCUCCUUGCCUUUUGUUUGUCCCGGGUUUUCUUAACAAUCCGGUCCCAGAAGUGAGCAUUUGAAUUUAUCAUGAAAGUUCAAUUUAUACGAUUGCUUUUGCUUGUUAUAUGAUGACUUUAUAGUAUGGAAUUGCGUGUGUAGUCAGCUACCUUACACUUUUUCUUUCCCUCUGUUUCAACUCUUAGAAUUUUGGUCCUCUUUUAUUUUUGAGUCAUUCUGUCAUGUUGUUACUUGUCCUUGGUGUUCAAAAUUUGUUCUUGAAGGUGAUAAUAUCGUAUAUGUUUUUGCAGCUACUAUUUGUAAUUUGCAGACGACUAUUAAGUGAUAAGUCUUAGAUGAGAACAUAUACUCCAUUUGAGUUCAUUUGUUGGAGCUUUGGUUCAUUUUCAAGUCAUUUUCUCCCGUUGCCAUCUGUCAUUGGCAUUCACAAUUACCUUUAAGGGAAUGAGAAAUUCUGUUUUGCUUGUGAGGUCAUUCAUUUCAAAAGGCUGAUGAUCAUUGAAGUGCCAGGCUUCUUUUAUGGAACUUUGUUUCCAAAGCUGGUAGCUUCACAUCUGUUCUUCUUCCCCUUCAUGAUUCUCACUGCAAUCGAUUUUUCCAACUACUCCAGUUGAGAAGCAGGUGAUAAAUUGCUCCUUAGCAGAAUGAUGCUACUGGUAGUUUCUUCUAGCUCAGAUUGUGUGACGGAGCAACAUUGGGGUAGCCAUCCAGCUGCUUCAGAUUCUCGAAAGUGCCGAGGUGUAUUGCGUAGUCCGAGUCACCACCAUCUGGGGUACAUUGGCAGAUAAUUUGCUGGCCAAGUUUGCUACAGCCCAUCUGGAAAGUAAUCUGUAUUUAUAUUCGGCCGCAUUCCCGACACUGUCUAGAUUCUGUAAUGUUAUUAUGUGUAUAUACCAUAUAGGGUUCAUCUGCAGCUGGCAAUGUAAGUUGGACCAGUCCUGCUUCUUGUAUGUACCUUUCUUUUCCCGUCUGAUUUGAAAUUAAUUUACUGUGCUCGCAUAGACCGGUUGGAUAUCAGAUAAAGUUCAGUUCAUGUGUUUUAUUCGUGUAUGGUACUAUAAAUUCUACUCCCUUGGUUAUUGGUUUCAGCAUUGUC